AAUGAACGUUGGCGGCGUGGAUUAGGCAUGCAAGUCGAGCGUGUACCCCGCAAGGGGGAAAGCGGCGUAAGGGAGAGUAAUACGUAGAUACGUGCCUCCGGGUCUGGGAUAGCCACGGGAAACUGUGGGUAGUACCGGAUAAUGUCUGAGGACCAAAGGUGUGAUUCCACCUGGAGAUCGGUCUGCGUCCUAUCAUGCUUGUUGGUGAGGUAACGGCUCACCAAGGCUACGACGGGUACGGGGAGUGAGAGCUUGCCCCCGCUCACUGGGACUGAGACACUGCCCAGACACCUACGGGUGGCUGCAGUCGAGGAUCUUCGGCAAUGGGCGCAAGCCUGACCGAGCGACGCCGCGUGCGGAUGAAGGCCUUCGGGUUGUAAACCGCUGUCAGUGGGGAGGAAGGCUCCGUGAAGAACGGGGUUUGACCUAUCCGCAGAGGAAGUGUGGGCUAAGUUCGUGCCAGCCGCCGCCGUAA
RNAcentral lists this ribosomal RNA (475 nucleotides) under uncultured bacterium. Its description in RNAcentral is "partial 16S ribosomal RNA". It matches the Rfam family "Bacterial small subunit ribosomal RNA", at positions 28 to 523 of the family's 1533-position model. The record is from RNAcentral.